GGAGAGGUUAUGGGUUCGAAUAACAUGGGAACACCUUUUAAUAUUUUCAUGUUUUAUUAAGAUUAUGGGCCAAAAAAUUUUUUUUUUGCUUCUGGGCCCGAAAUUGUCAGGCCCGGCCCUGACUGCAAUGAUGUGGCAUACAUGGUCUGCUUUAUUGAUAAAUUACUGAGGAACAUAAUAUCCUCUCUCUGCUGCAUGAAACCAGCUCUCUAUAGCACUAUGAUGCAGUGUCGGCUUGCAAGAACAGUGGACCCUAGACUCAUUUGAGUUUCAUUUUUCUACUUUCAUCUUAUAAAGGUUUAAGAAUCUUUUUAUAACAUUUUUUGUUGUUGAUUAAUCAAUUUAGUGUUUCAAAAGAAUUUUUUUUUUUUUACAGAAUAACCUAUAUUCAUAAAUUUUGUUUGAGUUUUUAAUAUUCAAUAGUCAAAAUUUUAGAAAUAUAUAAA
Molecule: long non-coding RNA, 446 nt
Filed under: Brassica rapa (field mustard)
Lineage: Eukaryota; Viridiplantae; Streptophyta; Magnoliopsida; Brassicales; Brassicaceae
Description: long non-coding RNA (BRAP_LNC000354)
Source: RNAcentral